AUGAACAGAGUGGCUUCAGAGCUCAACAGAAGCAUUAUCGAUGGCUCAAACGCGCUUUCGUAUGAAGCCGGAACCGUGGAAUCCAACACCAAAAUUAGGGAUACAAUGAAGAAGUUCAUCACCCGUUGUCGCAAGAUAGUGGGUAUGCUUGGGUGCGCUCACGCGGCCAACGUCCAUGAUCCUGCUCAUGAAGGGUCCAUGCGUGCCAUUGCUUCAUCAAGCCAUGCCGGCGGAGCUUCCUCUACUCAUGUUGCCUCGUCAUCCCGCGUUGUUGAGCAACAAGAGGAAGAAGAAACAGAGGACGGCGAAGAAGAGGAGGAGGAGGACGCAGAGGAGGAGGACGCAGAAGAAGAAGAGGAGGAGGACGCAGAGGAGUACGAUGACAAUGACGGGCCUCAACCGACGCAGCCAAGCCAGGGGAAGAGGGUAUCUCAUCCACACCAGGAUAUUUUGAGCCCAUCCCCGUUUCAGAAACCGGUUCCUCGUCGUCGCACGAAGUAA
RNAcentral lists this ribosomal RNA (501 nucleotides) under Triticum aestivum (bread wheat). RNAcentral describes it as "partial small subunit ribosomal RNA". Lineage: Eukaryota; Viridiplantae; Streptophyta; Magnoliopsida; Poales; Poaceae. The record is from RNAcentral.